RNAcentral lists this ribosomal RNA (528 nucleotides) under uncultured rumen archaeon. Its description in RNAcentral is "bacterial SSU rRNA". It matches the Rfam family "Archaeal small subunit ribosomal RNA", at positions 1 to 528 of the family's 1478-position model. The record is from RNAcentral.
UUCUGUUUGAUCCUGGCGGAGGCUACUGCUAUUGGGAUUCGAUUAAGCCAUGCAAGUUGAAUGAAUUUAGAUUCAUGGCGUACGGCUCAGUAACACGUGGAUAACUUACCCUUAGGACUGGGAUAACUCUGGGAAACUGGGGAUAAUACCGGAUAUUAGGCUAUGUCUGCAAUGGUUUGCCUUUGAAAUGUUUUUUUUUUCGCCUAAGGAUAGAUCUGCGGCUGAUUAGGUCGUUGGUGGGGUAAUGGCCCACCAAGCCGAUGAUCGGUACGGGUUGUGAGAGCAAGGGCCCGAAGAUGGAACCUGAGACAAGGUUCCAGACCCUACGGGGUGCAGCAGGCGCGAAACCUCCGCAAUGUACGAAAGUGCGACGGGGGGAUCCCAAGUGUUAUGCUUAAAGGUAUGACUUUUCAUUAGUGUAAAAAGCUUUUAGAAUAAGAGCUGGGCAAGACCGGUGCCAGCCGCCGCGGUAACACCGGCAGCUCGAGUGGUAGCUGUUUUUAGUGGGCCUAAAGCGUUCGUAGCCGG